RNAcentral lists this transfer RNA (74 nucleotides) under Candidatus Omnitrophota bacterium. Its description in RNAcentral is "Candidatus Omnitrophica bacterium tRNA-Gly". It matches the Rfam family "tRNA". Rfam says of the family: Transfer RNA (tRNA) molecules are approximately 80 nucleotides in length. Their secondary structure includes four short double-helical elements and three loops (D, anti-codon, and T loops). Further hydrogen bonds mediate the characteristic L-shaped molecular structure. tRNAs have two regions of fundamental functional importance: the anti-codon, which is responsible for specific mRNA codon recognition, and the 3' end, to which the tRNAs corresponding amino acid is attached (by aminoacyl-tRNA synthetases). tRNAs cope with the degeneracy of the genetic code in two manners: having more than one tRNA (with a specific anti-codon) for a particular amino acid; and 'wobble' base-pairing, i.e. permitting non-standard base-pairing at the 3rd anti-codon position. The record is from RNAcentral. Lineage: Bacteria; Pseudomonadati; Candidatus Omnitrophota.
GCGAGCGUAGCACAGUGGUAGUGCUCCAGCUUCCCAAGCUGGCCACGGGGGUUCGAUUCCCCUCGCUCGCUCCA